CUACGGGAGGCAGCAGUGAGGAAUAUUGCACAAUGGGGGGAACCCUGAUGCAGCAACGCCGCGUGGAGGAUGACGCAUUUCGGUGUGUAAACUCCUUUUAUAUGUCAAGAAAAUGACGGUAGCAUAUGAAUAAGCACCGGCUAACUCUGCGCCAGCAGCCGCGGUAAUACGGAGGGUGCAAGCGUUACUCGGAAUCACUGGGCGUAAAGGACGCGUAGGCGGGUUGGAAAGUCAGGUGUGAAAUCCUACAGCUUAACUGUAGAACUGCACUUGAAACUUCUAAUCUAGAGUAUGGGAGGGGGAGAUGGAAUUAGUGGUGUAGGGGUAAGAUCCGUAGAUAUCACUAGGAAUACCUAAAGCGAAGGCGAUCUCCUGGAACAUUACUGACGCUAAGGCGUGAAAGCGUGGGGAGCAAACAGGAUUAGAUACCCGCGUAGUC
Molecule: ribosomal RNA, 439 nt
Filed under: uncultured bacterium
Lineage: Bacteria
Description: partial 16S ribosomal RNA
Rfam family: Bacterial small subunit ribosomal RNA
Source: RNAcentral